AACGAACGCUGGCGGCAUGCCUAACACAUGCCAGUCGAACGAGACCUUCGGGUCUAGUGGCGCACGGGUGCGUAACGCGUGGGAACCUGCCCUUAGGUUCGGAAUAACUCCCCGAAAGGGGUGCUAAUACCGGAUAAUGUCUUCGGACCAAAGAUUUAUCGUCUUUGGAUGGGCCUGCGUUGGAUUAGCUAGUUGGUAGGGUAAAAGCCUACCAAGGCGACGAUCCAUAGCUGGUCUGAGAGGAUGAUCAGCCACACUGGGACUGAGACACGGCCCAGACUCCUACGGGAGGCAGCAGUGGGGAAUAUUGGACAAUGGGCGAAAGCCUGAUCCAGCAAUGCCGCGUGAGUGAUGAAGGCCUUAGGGUUGUAAAGCUCUUUUACCCGGGAUGAUAAUGACAGUACCGGGAGAAUAAGCUCCGGCUAACUCCGUG
This 433-nucleotide ribosomal RNA is filed under the name uncultured bacterium. RNAcentral's name for it is "partial 16S ribosomal RNA". It matches the Rfam family "Bacterial small subunit ribosomal RNA", at positions 29 to 507 of the family's 1533-position model. The record is from RNAcentral.